Long non-coding RNA from Oncorhynchus tshawytscha (Chinook salmon), 311 nucleotides. Lineage: Eukaryota; Metazoa; Chordata; Actinopteri; Salmoniformes; Salmonidae. The record is from Ensembl.
UUAAGGUACCAGGCUAACUAUACAUCAGUUUAAGGUACCAGACUAACUAUUCGUCAGUUUAAGGGACCAGGCUAACUAUUCAUCAGUUUAAGGGACCAGACUAACUAUUCAUCAGUUUAAGGGACCAGACUAACUAUUCAUCAGUUUAAGGUACCAGGCUAACUAUUCAUCAGUUUAAGGGACCAGGCUAACUAUUCAUCAGUUUAAGGGACCAGGCUAACUAUACAUCAGUUUAAGGGACCUGGCUAACUAUUCAUCAGUUUAUUAAGGGACCAGGCUAACUAUUCAUCAGUUUAUUAAGGGACCAGGCU